CGAGUGCAAAUGGCGGCGCUCAUGCGAACUGACUGAACAGCCGCGCACGCCCGUUGGCCACAUUACCGUGCGUCGGACUACACUGGACGAAAUAUGCUGCUCAAGAAUGCACAUUGACUUCGGAGGUCUUCUUCAGAAUAUUGGAGUAAAGCCAGCAAUUUUAAUGGAGUCAAUCCGUCCAUAUGACCACUUGGUGCAAGCUUCAUUUUUGUGUUACACAUUCACUUAUUACAAUAACUGUAAUAAAAGAUUUGGAAAAUACA
Molecule: long non-coding RNA, 263 nt
Filed under: Dermacentor andersoni
Lineage: Eukaryota; Metazoa; Arthropoda; Arachnida; Ixodida; Ixodidae
Description: uncharacterized LOC126519629
Source: RNAcentral